AUUGAACGCUGGCGGCAGGCCUAACACAUGCAAGUCGAACGGUAACAGGAAGAAGCUUGCUUCUUUGCUGACGAGUGGCGGACGGGUGAGUAAUGUCUGGGAAACUGCCUGAUGGAGGGGGAUAACUACUGGAAACGGUAGCUAAUACCGCAUAACGUCGCAAGACCAAAGAGGGGGACCUUCGGGCCUCUUGCCAUCGGAUGUGCCCGGAUGGGAUUAGCUAGUAGGUGGGGUAACGGCUCACCUAGGCGACGAUCCCUAGCUGGUCUGAGAGGAUGACCAGCCACACUGGAACUGAGACACGGUCCAGACUCCUACGGGAGGCAGCAGUGGGGAAUAUUGCACAAUGGGCGCAAGCCUGAUGCAGCCAUGCCGCGUGUAUGAAGAAGGCCUUCGGGUUGUAAAGUACUUUCAGCGGGGAGGAAGGGAGUAAAGUUAAUACCUUUGCUCAUUGACGUUGCCCGCAGAAGAAGCACCGGCUAACUCCGUG
Molecule: ribosomal RNA, 490 nt
Filed under: uncultured bacterium
Lineage: Bacteria
Description: partial 16S ribosomal RNA
Rfam family: Bacterial small subunit ribosomal RNA
Source: RNAcentral